RNAcentral lists this ribosomal RNA (488 nucleotides) under uncultured bacterium. RNAcentral's name for it is "bacterial SSU rRNA". It matches the Rfam family "Bacterial small subunit ribosomal RNA", at positions 28 to 517 of the family's 1533-position model. The record is from RNAcentral.
GAUGAACGCUGGCGGCGUGCCUAACACAUGCAAGUCGAACGGAGUUUAUAUUAUGAAGUUUUCGGAUGGAAUGAUAUAAACUUAGUGGCGGACGGGUGAGUAACGCGUGGGUAACCUGCCUCAUACAGGGGGAUAACAGUUGGAAACGACUGCUAACACCGCAUAAGCAUACAGUAUCGCAUGAUACAGUGUGAAAAUAUUUAUAGGUAUGAGAUGGGCCCGCGUCUGAUUAGCUAGUUGGUGAGGUAAAGGCUCACCAAGGCGACGAUCAGUAGCCGGCUUGAGAGAGUGACCGGCCACAUUGGGACUGAGACACGGCCCAAACUCCUACGGGAGGCAGCAGUGGGGAAUAUUGCACAAUGGGGGAAACCCUGAUGCAGCGACGCCGCGUGAGUGAAGAAGUAUUUCGGUAUGUAAAGCUCUAUCAGCAGGGAAGAAAAUGACGGUACCUGACUAAGAAGCCCCGGCUAACUACGUGCCAGCAGCCG